Molecule: small RNA, 28 nt
Filed under: Bombyx mori (domestic silkworm)
Lineage: Eukaryota; Metazoa; Arthropoda; Insecta; Lepidoptera; Bombycidae
Description: ovarian small RNA-21124
Source: RNAcentral
UACGGACUUACCGCCAACUGCUCAAAGA